GAAGCCUCUCUCCAGCCAGAUACAGAGCUUAGCUGAUUGGUGAACAGUGAUUGAUUUCCUCUUUGUUCACAGUGGCUAAGUUCUGCACCUGAGGAGAGCUUGA
Poecilia formosa (Amazon molly) is the source of this 103-nucleotide microRNA precursor. Lineage: Eukaryota; Metazoa; Chordata; Actinopteri; Cyprinodontiformes; Poeciliidae. The record is from Ensembl.